RNAcentral lists this ribosomal RNA (734 nucleotides) under Escherichia coli. RNAcentral describes it as "partial 23S ribosomal RNA". It matches the Rfam family "Bacterial large subunit ribosomal RNA", at positions 181 to 955 of the family's 2925-position model. Lineage: Bacteria; Pseudomonadati; Pseudomonadota; Gammaproteobacteria; Enterobacterales; Enterobacteriaceae. The record is from RNAcentral.
GAACCGGGGGAACUGAAACAUCUAAGUACCCCGAGGAAAAGAAAUCAACCGAGAUUCCCCCAGUAGCGGCGAGCGAACGGGGAGGAGCCCAGAGCCUGAAUCAGUGUGUGUGUUAGUGGAAGCGUCUGGAAAGGCGCGCGAUACAGGGUGACAGCCCCGUACACAAAAAUGCACAUGCUGUGAGCUCGAUGAGUAGGGCGGGACACGUGGUAUCCUGUCUGAAUAUGGGGGGACCAUCCUCCAAGGCUAAAUACUCCUGACUGACCGAUAGUGAACCAGUACCGUGAGGGAAAGGCGAAAAGAACCCCGGCGAGGGGAGUGAAAAAGAACCUGAAACCGUGUACGUACAAGCAGUGGGAGCACGCUUCGGCGUGUGACUGCGUACCUUUUGUAUAAUGGGUCAGCGACUUAUAUUCUGUAGCAAGGUUAACCGAAUAGGGGAGCCGAAGGGAAACCGAGUCUUAACUGGGCGUUAAGUUGCAGGGUAUAGACCCGAAACCCGGUGAUCUAGCCAUGGGCAGGUUGAAGGUUGGGUAACACUAACUGGAGGACCGAACCGACUAAUGUUGAAAAAUUAGCGGAUGACUUGUGGCUGGGGGUGAAAGGCCAAUCAAACCGGGAGAUAGCUGGUUCUCCCCGAAAGCUAUUUAGGUAGCGCCUCGUGAAUUCAUCUCCGGGGGUAGAGCACUGUUUCGGCAAGGGGGUCAUCCCGACUUACCAACCCGAUGCAAACU